RNAcentral lists this ribosomal RNA (434 nucleotides) under uncultured Lachnospiraceae bacterium. RNAcentral's name for it is "bacterial SSU rRNA". It matches the Rfam family "Bacterial small subunit ribosomal RNA", at positions 341 to 792 of the family's 1533-position model. The record is from RNAcentral. Lineage: Bacteria; Bacillati; Bacillota; Clostridia; Lachnospirales; Lachnospiraceae.
ACGGAAGGCAGCAGUGGGGAAUAUUGGACAAUGGGGGAAACCCUGAUCCAGCGACGCCGCGUGAGUGAAGAAGUAUUUCGGUAUGUAAAGCUCUAUCAGCAGGGAAGAUAAUGACGGUACCUGACUAAGAAGCCCCGGCUAACUACGUGCCAGCAGCCGCGGUAAUACGUAGGGGGCAAGCGUUAUCCGGAUUUACUGGGUGUAAAGGGAGCGUAGACGGCAUAGCAAGUCUGAAGUGAAAAUCCAGAGCUCAACUCUGGAACUGCUUUGGAAACUGCCAGGCUAGAGUGCAGGAGGGGCAAGCGGAAUUCCUAGUGUAGCGGUGAAAUGCGUAGAUAUUAGGAGGAACACCGGUGGCGAAGGCGGCUUGCUGGACUGUAACUGACGUUGAGGCUCGAAAGCGUGGGGAGCAAACAGGAUUAGAUACCCUGGUA